UGCCGAAACCCGGGAUCGAACCAGGGACCUUAAGAUAUUCAGUCUAACGCUCUCCUAACUGAGCUAUUUCGGC
RNAcentral lists this transfer RNA (73 nucleotides) under Cordylochernes scorpioides. RNAcentral's name for it is "tRNA-Phe". Lineage: Eukaryota; Metazoa; Arthropoda; Arachnida; Pseudoscorpiones; Chernetidae. The record is from RNAcentral.